CUUAGGUCAAAGCAAAAAUCUAGAGCAGUCUGAGGGAGAAAAAAAAAAAAAUUCCCGAGAUGCAUCAUACACCUCAGUUGAGGAGGGCAAUAUGCUGCCUGCCGUUUGCUCUGGUGAAGGCUGGUGCCUGUCACAUGUGCCUCAGGCCUUCCUGCUCUGGCAUCUGCCUUCUGAGUCAUUGUGGCUUGGGGGAGAAUCCUCAAACAUCAGGCUGCCUAACCACCAUCUGACUCGUAGUCUGUUGCCCUAAAACUCUGAAGUGGCCUCCUUUGUCUGUCAUUUCCCUGAAACUGAAUUGUUCUUCAUGAAGGUGUCUAAACCGUAAGUUUUAACGGCCCCUUGCACAAGUAAGUAAAUUCUGUUACUUACUAAUUUUUCUCUUACUAAUCUUUUGUCUGUUUUUCAGGUCCAGAUAGAGAACUUAGGAGGGCAAGAAGAGAAGGGUUUGUUUUUGUUUUCUCUUUUUCUACUGCAUUUUGAUGGGACUACAAAAUACUAGUCUAGGUCCUUGGAGUCAGAGAACAAUGAAAAGGAAGUUAAGGCCUACCAGGCUGUGAGUUGAGCCAACCGUGAGUCUGACAGUUGCUGUCAGUGGUCCUGAUCCUGCCCAGCCAAUGAGGGGUGACUACCCGAUCCUGCGUGAGGCCCUAGCAACAGGAGCUGUCAUCGGUCCUGAUUGUGCCUAGCCAAUGAAGGGCGACUAGGAAAUGCCAAUGGAUCAGAACAUCUGGGUGCAGGGAGAGUAUAUAAGUUUUACCCAUUGCUAAAUAAACAAGUCU
Molecule: long non-coding RNA, 779 nt
Filed under: Cricetulus griseus (Chinese hamster)
Lineage: Eukaryota; Metazoa; Chordata; Mammalia; Rodentia; Cricetidae
Description: lncRNA (ENSCGRG00015042642.1)
Source: RNAcentral